GAUGAACGCUGGCGGCGUGCCUAAUACAUGCAAGUCGAGCGAACAGACGAGGAGCUUGCUUCUCUGACGUUAGCGGCGGACGGGUGAGUAACACGUGGAUAACUUACCUAUAAGACUGGGAUAACUUCGGGAAACCGGAGCUCAUACCGGAUAAUAUAUUGAACCUCAUGGUUCCAUAGUGAAAGACGGUUUUGCUGUCACUUAUAGAUGGAUCCGCGCCGCAUUAGCUAGUUGGUAAGGUAACGGCUUACCAAGGCAACGAUGCGUAGCCGACCUGAGAGGGUGAUCGGCCACACUGGAACUGAGACACGGUCCAGACUCCUACGGGAGGCAGCAGUAGGGAAUCUUCCGCAAUGGGCGAAAGCUUGACGGAGCAACGCCGCGUGAGUGAUGAAGGUCUUCGGAUCGUAAAACUCUGUUAUUAGGGAAGAACAAAGGUGUAAGUAACUAUGCACGUCUUGACGGUACCUAAUCAGAAAGCCACGGCUAACUACGUG
This 497-nucleotide ribosomal RNA is filed under the name uncultured bacterium. RNAcentral describes it as "partial 16S ribosomal RNA". It matches the Rfam family "Bacterial small subunit ribosomal RNA", at positions 28 to 507 of the family's 1533-position model. The record is from RNAcentral.